GAUGAACGCUGGCGGCGUGCCUAAUACAUGCAAGUCGAGCGAACGGACGAGAAGCUUGCUUCUCUGAUGUUAGCGGCGGACGGGUGAGUAACACGUGGAUAACCUACCUAUAAGACUGGGAUAACUUCGGGAAACCGGAGCUAAUACCGGAUAAUAUUUUGAACCGCAUGGUUCAAAAGUGAAAGGCGGUCUUGCUGUCACUUAUAGAUGGAUCCGCGCUGCAUUAGCUAGUUGGUAAGGUAACGGCUUACCAAGGCAACGAUGCAUAGCCGACCUGAGAGGGUGAUCGGCCCCACUGGAACUGAGACACGGUCCAGACUCCUACGGGAGGCAGCAGUAGGGAAUCUUCCGCAAUGGGCGAAAGCCUGACGGAGCAACGCCGCGUGAGUGAUGAAGGUCUUCGGAUCGUAAAACUCUGUUAUUAGGGAAGAACAUAUGUGUAAGUAACUGUGCACAUCUGGACGGUACCUAAUCAGAAAGCCACGGCUAACUACGU
This 496-nucleotide ribosomal RNA is filed under the name uncultured bacterium. RNAcentral describes it as "partial 16S ribosomal RNA". It matches the Rfam family "Bacterial small subunit ribosomal RNA", at positions 28 to 506 of the family's 1533-position model. The record is from RNAcentral.